RNAcentral lists this long non-coding RNA (573 nucleotides) under Ananas comosus (pineapple). RNAcentral's name for it is "long non-coding RNA (ACOM_LNC006825)". Lineage: Eukaryota; Viridiplantae; Streptophyta; Magnoliopsida; Poales; Bromeliaceae. The record is from RNAcentral.
AUCAAAUGAGAUUAACGUUAGUACAUUUACUUUGCAAAGCUAACACUAAAUAUCUUGUAACGUAUGGGUUUUAAACACUUGCAACAUAUACUUUCAUCUCGUAUAACCUAAACUUUAAGGUAUCGUUUGGUUCGGGGAUAAGGAAAAAAUGGCUAUUCCAGGGAUAGGUAUAAAUUGAGGUAUAAGCGAGGAUUAGAUCAAUUUUACGUUUGGAUGAAAAUUGGGUUAUUCCUGGAAUAAAAAAAAUAACGUUUGGUUAGGUAAGAUGGAAUAAGAAAGAUAAUGAGUUUUGUAAAUAAAAAAUAAUGAUAUUAUCCACUUAUUAUAUUUGAAUUUGAAUUUUUAAAUUUUUUAAUUUAUAUUUCUAAAUUUAAAAUUUUAACUUUGAAAUUUAAAAUCUCAAAUUUUAAAUUCAAAAUUUUAAAUUUUAAAUUUCAAACUUUAAAUUUAAGAUCAUAUUUAAAUUUGAAAAAUAUAAAAUAUCAAAUUUUAAAUUUCAAAUUAAAAUAUCAAAAUUUAAAUUUAAAAUUUAAAAUUAUAAACUUUAAUUUUGAGAUUAUAAAUUAUAAAUUU